This 160-nucleotide ribosomal RNA is filed under the name uncultured bacterium. Its description in RNAcentral is "partial 16S ribosomal RNA". It matches the Rfam family "Bacterial small subunit ribosomal RNA", at positions 355 to 507 of the family's 1533-position model. The record is from RNAcentral.
UGGGGAAUAUUGGACAAUGGGCGAAAGCCUGAUCCAGCCAUGCCGCGUGUGUGAAGAAGGUCUUCGGAUUGUAAAGCACUUUAAGUUGGGAGGAAGGGUUGUAACCUAAUACGUUGCAACUUUGACGUUACCGACAGAAUAAGCACCGGCUAACUUCGUG